RNAcentral lists this transfer RNA (71 nucleotides) under Eumecichthys fiski. RNAcentral's name for it is "tRNA-Gln". It matches the Rfam family "tRNA". Rfam says of the family: Transfer RNA (tRNA) molecules are approximately 80 nucleotides in length. Their secondary structure includes four short double-helical elements and three loops (D, anti-codon, and T loops). Further hydrogen bonds mediate the characteristic L-shaped molecular structure. tRNAs have two regions of fundamental functional importance: the anti-codon, which is responsible for specific mRNA codon recognition, and the 3' end, to which the tRNAs corresponding amino acid is attached (by aminoacyl-tRNA synthetases). tRNAs cope with the degeneracy of the genetic code in two manners: having more than one tRNA (with a specific anti-codon) for a particular amino acid; and 'wobble' base-pairing, i.e. permitting non-standard base-pairing at the 3rd anti-codon position. Lineage: Eukaryota; Metazoa; Chordata; Actinopteri; Lampriformes; Lophotidae. The record is from RNAcentral.
UAGGAAGUGGUGUAGCGGGAGCACGGAGAGUUUUGAUCUCUCAAGCAGAGGUUCAAGCCCUCUCUUUCUAA